GAUGAACGCUAGCGGCAGGCUUAACACAUGCAAGUCGAGGGGCAGCAUAAAUAGUAGCAAUACUAUUGGUGGCGACCGGCGGACGGGUGCGUAAAGCGUAUACAACCUUACCUAAACAGGGGGAUAAUCUGGAGAAAUUCGGUCUAAUACCCCAUAACAUCAGAGCAGGCAUCUGUUUUGGUUUAAAUUUCCGGAGGUUUAGGAUGGGUAUGCGUAGCAUUAGCUAGUUGGUGAGGUAACGGCUCACCAAGGCGACGAUGCUUAGGGGGACUGAGAGGUUAACCCCCCACACUGGUACUGAGACACGGACCAGACUCCUACGGGAGGCAGCAGUGAGGAAUAUUGGUCAAUGGGCGGAAGCCUGAACCAGCCAUGCCGCGUGCAGGAUGACGGCUCUAUGAGUUGUAAACUGCUUUUGUACGAGGGUAAAGUGGGCUACGUGUAGCCUUUUGAAAGUAUCGUACGAAUAAGGAUCGGCUAACUCCGUGCCAGCCGCCGCCGUAA
RNAcentral lists this ribosomal RNA (504 nucleotides) under uncultured bacterium. RNAcentral describes it as "partial 16S ribosomal RNA". It matches the Rfam family "Bacterial small subunit ribosomal RNA", at positions 28 to 523 of the family's 1533-position model. The record is from RNAcentral.